AGGAUAAACGGUGGCGGCGUGCAUGAGACAUGCAAGUCAAACGGACGAUCGGGGUUCGCUCUGAUCGUUAGUGGCGGACGGCUGAGUAACGCGUAGGUGACCUGCCCCGAAGUGGGGAAUAACUGCCCGAAAGGGUGGCUAAUACCGCAUGUGGUGGUGCGUUCGAUCGCACCAGUAAAGCCGCAAGGCGCUUCGGGAGGGGCCCGCGUCCGAUUAGCUCGUUGGUGAGGUAACGGCUCACCAAGGCGACGAUCGGUAGGUGGUCUGAGAGGACGAUCACCCAGACUGGGACUGAGACACGGCCCAGACUCCUACGGAGGCAGCAGUCGGGAAUUUUGCGCAAUGGACGAAAGUCUGACGCAGCAACGCCGCGUGAGGGAUGAAGGCCUUCGGGUUGUAAACCUCUUUUUCCAGGGAAGAUAAUGACGGUACCUGGCGAAUAAGUCACGGCUAACUACGUGCCAGCAGCCGC
Molecule: ribosomal RNA, 472 nt
Filed under: uncultured bacterium
Lineage: Bacteria
Description: SSU rRNA
Rfam family: Bacterial small subunit ribosomal RNA
Source: RNAcentral